AGAUUGAACGCUGGCGGUAGGCCUAACACAUGCAAGUCGAGCGGUAGAGAGGUGCUUGCAUCUCUUGAGAGCGGCGGACGGGUGAGUAAUGCCUAGGAAUCUGCCUAGUGGUGGGGGAUAACGUUCGGAAACGGACGCUAAUACCGCAUACGUCCUACGGGAGAAAGCGGGGGACCUUCGGGCCUCGCGCCAUUAGAUGAGCCUAGGUCGGAUUAGCUAGUUGGUGAGGUAAUAGCUCACCAAGGCGACGAUCCGUAACUGGUCUGAGAGGAUGAUCAGUCACACUGGAACUGAGACACGGUCCAGACUCCUACGGGAGCAGCAGUGGGGAAUAUUGGACAA
This 342-nucleotide ribosomal RNA is filed under the name uncultured soil bacterium. RNAcentral's name for it is "bacterial SSU rRNA". It matches the Rfam family "Bacterial small subunit ribosomal RNA", at positions 26 to 371 of the family's 1533-position model. The record is from RNAcentral.